Molecule: long non-coding RNA, 116 nt
Organism: Sinocyclocheilus grahami
Lineage: Eukaryota; Metazoa; Chordata; Actinopteri; Cypriniformes; Cyprinidae
Exons: 3
Source: RefSeq, a predicted model, not a curated record
AUAAAUGCAGCCUUAAAUAAAAAGUGUGCGCCUCAUUGCGCAUUAACUAGAAUCAAGCCCAACAAAUGUCUGUUUUAAAAACAGUGGAUGCGUAAUUCACUCCUUGAUUUGCUUAA